Molecule: ribosomal RNA, 484 nt
Filed under: uncultured bacterium
Lineage: Bacteria
Description: partial 16S ribosomal RNA
Rfam family: Bacterial small subunit ribosomal RNA
Source: RNAcentral
AUUGAACGCUGGCGGCAGGCCUAACACAUGCAAGUCGAGCGGAUGAAGGGAGCUUGCUCCUGGAUUCAGCGGCGGACGGGUGAGUAAUGCCUAGGAAUCUGCCUGGUAGUGGGGGAUAACGUCCGGAAACGGGCGCUAAUACCGCAUACGUCCUGAGGGAGAAAGUGGGGGAUCUUCGGACCUCACGCUAUCAGAUGAGCCUAGGUCGGAUUAGCUAGUUGGUGGGGUGAAGGCCUACCAAGGCGACGAUCCGUAACUGGUCUGAGAGGAUGAUCAGUCACACUGGAACUGAGACACGGUCCAGACUCCUACGGGAGGCAGCAGUGGGGAAUAUUGGACAAUGGGCGAAAGCCUGAUCCAGCCAUGCCGCGUGUGUGAAGAAGGUCUUCGGAUUGUAAAGCACUUUAGGUUGGGAGGAAGGGCAGUAAGUUAAUACCUUGCUGUUUUGACGUUACCAACAGAAUAAGCACCGGCUAACUUCGUG